Hemibagrus wyckioides is the source of this 3709-nucleotide long non-coding RNA. RefSeq lists it as uncharacterized. The record is from RefSeq and is a predicted model, not a curated record. NCBI's taxonomy places the organism in Eukaryota, Metazoa, Chordata, Actinopteri, Siluriformes, Bagridae. The transcript has 3 exons.
GACUGCCAUGAACCCAUUUCUGGUUCUCUAGAGCUUUUAAGCAGCGUGCUCCCUCUGUUCCACACGAAGAAUCAUUUCCUUGUGUCACAUACCAAGCCUUGAGUCAUUGCUGUAUGGUUUACCUCGUGUAUGAUCCUUGCCUCCCUUGCUUAUUGACUAUGAGUUUUGUGUUUUGGUUUCGGUUUACAGUGUGUUUGCUUUCUGGUUUUUGACCCUUUUGCUAUCCCAUAUCGAUACCGUCUUUUGCCUGCCGAUUUUGUGAAUAAAGAUCUGCGAAUGGAUUCUAAUACACGAGCCUCGCGUGCUUCAUUACAGGAUACUUCGCCAGUCGAGAAUCCAGUGGAUCUCUGCGCCACCAUCGUCCGCCAGGGACACAUGAUUCGUGUAUAUCAGGAUCAGGUGGCAGAGCUACAAGCCACCAACGCCCAGCUCCGGCAACAGCCUCCAGCCGCCGCCGAUGCACCAGAACCAGCGGCACCGCCACGCAGUGGAUUACCCCGAUUUUCCCUACCAGAGAAGUUUGAUGGCUCUGCCGAUUGCUGCCGCGGAUUCUUACGCCAGUGUGACAACUUCUUUGCGCAGCAGCCGGAAAUCUACGGCAACGGAACCAUCAGGUGUGCGUUCAUGCUGUCUUUACUGACGGGCAAAGCGCUAGACUGGGCUUCAGCUGUUUGGGAUUCUGAUCCUCAAGUCAAGACUUCGGCGGAUUAUUUCACCAAUCUGAUCAGGGAAGUUUUCGAGUAUCCGGUGGGAGGAAAGGACAUUUCUGUACAGCUGCUGGAAUUACGCCAAGGUGUUCAAUACGGCGGCGGAUUUCGCAAUCAAGGUCCGUAUGCUAGCGGCGCAAUCGGGCUGGAAUGAGAUGGCACUAGUGGCAGUGUUCCGCGAAGGUCUCAAUGGAGAUCUGAAGGCAGAGAUGGCAUGCGGUGAUACGUCACACUGUCACAAUAUAUCUCCACUGCCAUACGUCUUGAUAAUCUCCGACGCCAGCACCGACUUCCAGCCACGACCCAUACCCCUUCGGCCCCUGGAAUACCACAGCCCAAGAGAGGAAUCCACAGAGCCCAUGCAACUCGGGAGAUCUUGUGCCUCUGAGGGAGAGCGCGAAUGUCGCACCCAAUUACGGCUGUGCUUCUACUGCAGACAGCCAGGUCAUUGAGUCCUCCAAUGUCCGGAGAAGCCUAACCAAGUAGAUCUCGUGAAACUUGCUUUUAAGUUUCUCUCCCUGCCUUUUUCCUCCUCAAUGACUUUUGUUAUUCUGUCGCAGUGUUGACUGACUCCGGCUCAGCGGUGAAUCUUAUUGACAGCGGAUUGGUGCACGAGCUCGGGAUCACCACCAGUCCGUGCACCCCACCUUUAAGAGUCACUGCAAUAAACGAUCAACCCAUUGGGAAGGGCCUGAUCACUCACCGCACGUCCACGAGUGGUGUGUGGUGAGUGAUCAGGCCCUCUAUUAAACAGACCAGAUUUUGACCUGUCCAGCAUCACUGUCCCUCAACAUCGGUCAUUGGAUGGAGUGAGGAAUUCUCUCUCAGAUCUGAAGAAGAGACUGGAGGAGUUAUGUAAGGGAGGAAUUCAACAAGCUUCAGCAGUUCAGAUCAUUUCCCCACCAGAGCCACAGAGCAGAGAAGAGUUUCUGAAAUAUUUCUGUGAUCUGACUCUGGACCCCAACAUGAAACAUGAUAAACUCAUUUUGUCUGAGAAGAACAGAGUGGUGAGAUAUGGUGUGAGAGAGCAGCAGUAUUCUGAUCAUCCAAAGAGAUUUGACUCCUGGUUUCAGGUGUUGAGUAAGGAGAGUGUGUGUGUGGACGCUGUUACUGGGAGGUGGAACGUUAUUUAUCAGACAAGAACCUAGUAAAAACUGUUAAAAGGAAAUGAUCAAAUUAUAUUUUGUGAUCUCAGCACUGUAAAGUUCAUCUUGUAAUGGGAUCAGAAACAAAGGAAGUUUUAAUUACUGUGGGUUUAAUUUGACACAAUCUAAAUAUUUGCUUUCUAAAAUGCUGAUUAUCAAAUAAAUGGUUUUGUGGCAGGGUAAUGUGUCUGACAGUUUAACAUUAAACUGGAGCAUUUCACUUUCAGACCACCAGAUGGCGCUCACUUUUAAAUUACUUUGGUCUCAUAAAAUGUACGUGAACCACUAUCGCACUUCUGUUUCCUUCACUCUGAUGUCACUGGAUACUUUGAAUGGGUUUUGUGAGUUUUAUCUACAUUUUCAUUUCUGUCUAUGAGUGGGGUGAUGUGGCCCAAAAAUGUGUACGUUUAGUGAUAUCUCUCAGUAGUAAACAAUGCAACAUAAAUGAAAUAAGGUAAUAAAGAUUCAUUUAUUCAGAUUCAGAUUCACACUUAUCACUAAAUUACAAAGAAUUUUUUCAAUGUAUGCAAUAUAUUUCAAUGUAGUUUUUCAGAAAUACAAUAUUUCUGCUUUAUUGCCAUCGUUAUCAUCAUGAACACAAUGCAGUAGAGGUUUUAUGUCUCACAGCGAGACACAGUCCUGCUGGAAAUCCUGUCAUGUGACUUUUAGUGAAGCGGAUCGCUCGGGUUGUGUUUUUGCCACUGAUGGUGUUCUACACUGUAAAACCCGAGCCUCCAGAUAACAACUCUGAUGCGUUUGUCUAUUUACAGUUCUAUCUGGCGUGUUGAUUUUCACACAUUAUAACUUAGUUUUGUGUAAAAUCCCUGCACAUUACCACAUUGUUAAUAAAUCAUCUUUUUUUUUUAUUGUCACACAAGCCAGCUGCACAAAAGCAGAUCUGUAAUUUAAAAUGGCAGCAAUUAAAGAGCAAACGAUUAAAAAACGUUUUCUCUCACAAAUCUAGUAAAAAAUAAUAAAAAAUAAAAAUUACAUUGAAAUUAUAUUUUGCGAUGUUCUUCUUAUAAGAUUCUACCUGCAUGUUUCUUAUUUAUCAGUAAUGAGGUCAGCACAGAAAGACAUAAGAAGAAGACUGGGUCUACUUAAAAUACGUCCAUCAUAUAUACAUAUACUUUUAAAUACAGUUUUCUAAGAUCCAAUCAAUUUUUUUAAUCUUUUUUUUUCCGUAAAGUUUUAUCAGGAAAUUAUAUCUGCUGCCUUACCACCACUCCUGGCGGUUUUGAUCCCAUGAUGGAGGUGUGUUAGUCUGGGUGUCGAUGACAUCAGCAAUCCGGUCCACCAGGUCUGUCAGACCCUGGUCCUGAGACAGAAUGAGAGCCUUCCCCUUACAGAUCAGGGUUUUCUCCUUUGGAUCUGUUGGUUAAACAGUGACCACAAACACCACUGGUGCCAGCUUGAUUUAUUUUUCUAAUAAGCUAAUGUGGUAAAAUUAGGUUUCUGUGCACUUACCCGGUGGUUACAGGUGGUAACUGACAGAUUCCACCCACUCAAGGAUUGUGUUCAGGCCCUGACAUCAAGGGAGAAGCUUGUAGAUGGCAUUGUAGACCAGGAACAGCACCUGAUUGCCCAGGUGAAACUCUAGGGGCUGGCAUGGUAUGUUGUAUACCUGCUGUUGCUCAUUUUGGUCAGCGUCCAUACGCUUGAAGCUAUUUGCUGGGUUAGAGUGUGGGUGUCUCAGCUUCUGUACUGUUCUUCCCUGCUCAUGCUGCCGCUAGCUUUUGUGCCUUUGGUGGUGGGGUUGGUGUCGAAGACCAACCUGUCUCUGCCAAGCAGUAGUGGGAGUUUGGGGAUCAGUUCUAAGUGGGGCCAGUUUCCUGCUGGGCUACAGAUCCUAACCUG